Ceratina calcarata is the source of this 657-nucleotide long non-coding RNA. RefSeq lists it as uncharacterized. The record is from RefSeq and is a predicted model, not a curated record. Lineage: Eukaryota; Metazoa; Arthropoda; Insecta; Hymenoptera; Apidae. The transcript has 4 exons.
CCUGAUAUUGAACAUGCUUAUUCGUCUGAUUCGCCUGAAACAUGGAUGGAUGGAUGUUGAAUAUGUGAAUUGUCAGUGCCGUCAUGAUAUUUCAUGAGACAAUCGAACAUAUAUAUAAAUGGAAAAGCACAUAGAGAAGAAGAAAUCGAAAGAUGAUCGCUAGGUUACUUACCAAAGGGCUUACUUUGAAAGGAUUAUAUAUAUGCUGAAUAAUUUCGAAAACAAAUGCAUAAUGAAGAUGUGAACGUAGCUUAUGCUCUAAGGCUUUACAUGUACAAUUGUAGGACCAAUUUUAAUUCUUACAGUAGCAUAUGGAGAGGAUUCAGUGUCGGGAAGGAGCAAUAAUGAAUCAACACCUGAGCAUAUGCACAGGAUUCAGUGUCGGGAAGAAGCAAUAAUGAAUGAACAUCUGAGCAUAUGGAGAGGAUCUAGUGUCGGAAAGGAGGAAGAAUGAAUCAAUACGCGCGCGGUACCUAAGUUGGUUGGAAUUAAUGUAUUACCGAAAUCAGAGAAGUUGAUAUUACAAAGGGAAGGAGACGUAGAAUACAUGGAGCAAUUUGAAACAGUGACAGAAGAACCUGCAACUGAUUUGUGAUUAAUUAAAUUGUGUUUCGGUGUUCAUAAGAGAACUGGUUAAAAUUCUUAUUUUACAAAAUA